GAUGAACGCUGGCGGCGUGCCUAACACAUGCAAGUCGUACGAGCUCGAUCUUCGGAACGGGUUAGUGGCGCACGGGUGAGUAACACGUAGGUGACCUACCCCCAGAGUGGGGGAUAACUUCUCGAAAGAGAGGCUAAUACCGCAUACACUCGGUCAUUCAUUUGGCCGAGCAAAGCUCCGGCGCUUUGGGACGGGCCUGCGUCCGAUUAGCUAGUUGGUAGGGUAAUGGCUUACCAAGGCUUUGAUCGGUAGCUGGUCUGAGAGGACGAUCAGCCACACUGGCACUGACACACGGGCCAGACUCCUACGGGAGGCAGCAGUGAGGAAUAUUGGGCAAUGGGCGAAAGCCUGACCCAGCAACGCCGCGUGAGGGAUGAAGGCCUUCGGUGUAAACCUCUUUCUGGGAGAAGAGACAAGGACGGUAUCCCAGGAA
RNAcentral lists this ribosomal RNA (433 nucleotides) under uncultured bacterium. RNAcentral describes it as "bacterial SSU rRNA". It matches the Rfam family "Bacterial small subunit ribosomal RNA", at positions 28 to 487 of the family's 1533-position model. The record is from RNAcentral.